GGUGAAAAGCACCCCGGAAGGGGAGUGAAAUAGAACCUGAAACCGUGUGCUUACAAGUAGUCAGAGCCCGUUAAUGGGUGAUGGCGUGCCUUUUGUAGAAUGAACCGGCGAGUUACGAUUUGAUGCAAGGUUAAGCAGUAAAUGUGGAGCCGUAGCGAAAGCGAGUCUGAAUAGGGCGUUUAGUAUUUGGUCGUAGACCCGAAACCAGGUGAUCUACCCUUGGUCAGGUUGAAGUUCAGGUAACACUGAAUGGAGGACCGAACCGACUUACGUUGAAAAGUGAGCGGAUGAACUGAGGGUAGCGGAGAAAUUCCAAUCGAACCUGGAGAUAGCUGGUUCUCUCCGAAAUAGCUUUAGGGCUAGCCUCAAGUGAUGAUUAUUGGAGGUAGAGCACUGUUUGGACGAGGGGCCCCUCUCGGGUUACCGAAUUCAGACAAACUCCGAAUGCCAAUUAAUUUAACUUGGGAGUCAGAACAUGGGUGAUAAGGUCCGUGUUCGAAAGGGAAACAGCCCAGACCACCAGCUAAGGUCCCAAAAUAUAUGUUAAGUGGAAAAGGAUGUGGCGUUGCCCAGACAACUAGGAUGUUGGCUUAGAAGCAGCCAUCAUUUAAAGAGUGCGUAAUAGCUCACUAGUCGAGUGACACUGCGCCGAAAAUGUACCGGGGCUAAACAUAUUACCGAAGCUGUGGAUUGUCCUUUGGACAAUGGUAGGAGAGCGUUCUAAGGGCGUUGAAGCAUGAUCGUAAGGACAUGUGGAGCGCUUAGAAGUGAGAAUGCCGGUGUGAGUAGCGAAAGACGGGUGAGAAUCCCGUCCACCGAUUGACUAAGGUUUCCAGAGGAAGGCUCGUCCGCUCUGGGUUAGUCGGGUCCUAAGCUGAGGCCGACAGGCGUAGGCGAUGGAUAACAGGUUGAUAUUCCUGUACCACCUAUAAUCGUUUUAAUCGAUGGGGGGACGCAGUAGGAUAGGCGAAGCGUGCGAUUGGAUUGCACGUCUAA
RNAcentral lists this ribosomal RNA (996 nucleotides) under Staphylococcus aureus. RNAcentral describes it as "partial 23S ribosomal RNA". It matches the Rfam family "Bacterial large subunit ribosomal RNA", at positions 513 to 1515 of the family's 2925-position model. Lineage: Bacteria; Bacillati; Bacillota; Bacilli; Caryophanales; Staphylococcaceae. The record is from RNAcentral.